Molecule: microRNA, 23 nt
Filed under: Homo sapiens (human)
Lineage: Eukaryota; Metazoa; Chordata; Mammalia; Primates; Hominidae
Description: hsa-miR-8087
Source: miRBase by way of RNAcentral
GAAGACUUCUUGGAUUACAGGGG